GACAAGGAGUGGUGCUCCAUCACCAAGUCACCUUGCCAGGUCAAGGACAUGAAGAUCAAAUCCCUGAAGGUCUAUCUCUUCUCUCUGUCCAUCAAGGAGUUUGAGGUCACUGACUUCCUCCUGGGGGUGCCCCUCAAGGACAAGGUUCUGAAGCUCAUGUUUGUGCAAAAGCAGCCCAAGGCUGGCCGGCGGAUCAGGUUCAAAGUGAUUGUCACCAUAAGGGACUGCAAUGAUAACGUCAGUCUGGGUGUUGAGUGGCCCAAGGAGUUACUCAUUGCUGUCUGCAGGACCAACAUCCUCUCCAUCAUCCUGGUGUAGGGUGACUACCAGGGGACAAGGUCAGCAAACCCCACACAGUGCUCUGCAUGGUGACACAAUGCUGC
Molecule: long non-coding RNA, 383 nt
Filed under: Homo sapiens (human)
Lineage: Eukaryota; Metazoa; Chordata; Mammalia; Primates; Hominidae
Description: non-protein coding lnc-SAYSD1-2:1
Source: RNAcentral